Molecule: small nucleolar RNA, 133 nt
Organism: Ornithorhynchus anatinus (platypus)
Lineage: Eukaryota; Metazoa; Chordata; Mammalia; Monotremata; Ornithorhynchidae
Source: RefSeq, a predicted model, not a curated record
CCCCUCUCGGGUUUGCACCUGGAGAGUUUCCAGUUCUCUACCAGUCUCCACUUUGGGAGGGAGAGUCAAGCAGAGGCACUUCCAUUCCUAGCUUGGGCAGUGGCUAGCGAGUGGACGGCAAUCUGCUACAAGU